AUUGAACGCUGGCGGCAGGCCUAACACCUGCAAGUCGAACGAGUGGCGGACGGGUGAGUAAUGUUUGGGAAACUUCCCGAUGGAGGGGGAUAACUACUGGAAAAGGUAGCUAAUACCCCAUACUCUCGGAUGUGCCCAGAUGGGAUUAGCUAGUAGGUGGGGUAAUGGCUCACCUAGGGGAGGAUCCCUAGCUGGUCUGAGAGGAUAACCGGCCACACUGGAACGAAGACACGGUCCAGACUCCUACGGGAGGCAGCAGUGGGAAAUAUUGGACAAUGGGCGCAGGCCUGAUGCAGCCAUGCGGCGUGUAUGAAGAAGGCCUUCGGGUUGUAAGGUACUUUCAGCGAGGAGGCGUUACUCGCAGAAGAAGCACCGGCUAACUCCGUGCCAGCAGCCGCGGUAAUAC
Molecule: ribosomal RNA, 406 nt
Filed under: uncultured bacterium
Lineage: Bacteria
Description: partial 16S ribosomal RNA
Rfam family: Bacterial small subunit ribosomal RNA
Source: RNAcentral